This 500-nucleotide ribosomal RNA is filed under the name uncultured bacterium. RNAcentral describes it as "partial 16S ribosomal RNA". It matches the Rfam family "Bacterial small subunit ribosomal RNA", at positions 30 to 523 of the family's 1533-position model. The record is from RNAcentral.
AUUGAACGCUGGCGGAAUGCUUUACACAUGUAAGUCGAACGGCAGCACGGACUUCGGUCUGGUGGCGAGUGGCGAACGGGUGAGUAAUGUAUCGGAACGUGCCCAGUCGUGGGGGAUAACGUAGUGAAAAUUACGCUAAUACCGCAUACGAUCUAUGGAUGAAAGCGGGGGAUCGCAAGACCUCGCGCGAUUGGAGCGGCCGAUAUCAGAUUAGGUAGUUGGUGGGGUAAAGGCCCACCAAGCCAACGAUCUGUAGCUGGUCUGAGAGGACGACCAGCCACACUGGAACUGAGACACGGUCCAGACUCCUACGGGAGGCAGCAGUGGGGAAUUUUGGACAAUGGGCGAAAGCCUGAUCCAGCCAUUCCGCGUGCAGGAUGAAGGCCCUCGGGUUGUAAACUGCUUUUGUACAGAACGAAAAGGUUUCUACUAAUACUAGGAGCUCAUGACGGUACUGUAAGAAUAAGCACCGGCUAACUACGUGCCAGCCGCCGCGGUAA